Mercurialis annua (annual mercury) is the source of this 553-nucleotide long non-coding RNA. RefSeq lists it as uncharacterized. The record is from RefSeq and is a predicted model, not a curated record. NCBI's taxonomy places the organism in Eukaryota, Viridiplantae, Streptophyta, Magnoliopsida, Malpighiales, Euphorbiaceae. The transcript has 3 exons.
CCUUUGUGUUUUCUUGUUUUUAAAAUAAAAAAAAGUAAACAAGCAAACCAACCUUAUGAUCGAGCUCUACUCUCCAUGACCACAAGAAUCCAAUUCGCUUAUACCAAAUUGCAUCUCAUUUUGAAGAUGCUUGUGUUUUCACUUACUUCAUGGGUUCGGAAAACAGGGGUGAAGGCGUUCAAUUCCAUCCAUCGCAUGAGCAACUCUUCACUUCUAUGAUAUUUGAGAAACGGCAUAGUUACUGCACAGUAGCCUCCAAUAUCACUAUGAUUGAGAGCAUAUCCAGAAAGUCCACCACUCAGUAGGCCAACGACAGCACUCUUUAUCCCAUCAUGAGCCUGCCAGCUAACCAUUUGAUCUCCUUCCCAAAAGAGCAUACCCCAUUUGGGACUAUCCCGGAAACCGGCCCUCAUGAAGAAAACCAAAGCCUCUUCUGGGUCCUCUCUCUCCUUACCUACACGGUAUAAGGAGUAACCUGCAACCAGAAUGCUGAGAUGGGAACCUUGUAUGUUUUAAGUUCAUCCCAAAUUCUGCGUACGACUUCUGUUCCACC